RNAcentral lists this ribosomal RNA (471 nucleotides) under uncultured bacterium. RNAcentral describes it as "bacterial SSU rRNA". It matches the Rfam family "Bacterial small subunit ribosomal RNA", at positions 32 to 507 of the family's 1533-position model. The record is from RNAcentral.
GAGAAACGCUGGCGGCGCACAUAAGACAUGCAAGUCGAACGGAAUUUAGUCGAAUGUUUACAUGAGACGAAAAUUUAGUGGCGGACGGGUGAGUAACACGUGAGCAACCUGCCUUUAAGAGGGGGAUAACAUUGAGAAAUCAGUGCUAAUACCGCAUAAAGCUAGUAAAUCGCAUGAAGAUGAUAUCAAAACUCCGGUGCCUUAAGAUGAGCUCGCGUCCGAUUAACUAGUUGGUGAGGUAAAGGCUCACCAAGGUAACGAUCGGUAGCCGGACUGAGAGGUUGAACGGCCACAUUGGAACUGAGAUACGGUCCAGACUCCUACGGGAGGCAGCAGUGGGGGAUAUUGCGCAAUGGGGGAAACCCUGACGCAGCAACGCCGCGUGAAGGAAGAAGGUCUUCGGAUUGAAACUUUUGCUUUUGGGAAGNUAAAUGACGGUACCAAAGGAGGAAAGCCACGGCUAACUACGUG